This 3742-nucleotide long non-coding RNA is filed under the name Sus scrofa (pig). RNAcentral's name for it is "lncRNA (ENSSSCG00060049861.1)". Lineage: Eukaryota; Metazoa; Chordata; Mammalia; Artiodactyla; Suidae. The record is from RNAcentral.
GGAUGAGGCUAUGAUGAUGUGUAAUUCCUGUUGCUGUAGACAGUGGCAAUCUCAGCCCUGAUACAUUGAUGUGUAAAAGCUGUUGAGUUUUAAAGCAAUGAGUCAUGUGGAGACACGGUAUUGGUGAAGCAUUUCUAGUGUUCCUGGAGCAGGUUUCAGAGUCACCCAUCAUUUGCACAUGGAGACCAUACAUAUUGUUUAAGGGACUAAACACCAACCCAAAUAAUUUAUCAUGUCACCUCUCCCUCCCCAUUUUCCCCACCAAGUGAGCGAGUGAAAGGUAUUCAGAAAACACGUUAAUCAAAGUGGGCAGAAGAACCCUUUUUAAAUGGCGAGGAAAUGUCCCUAAGUUGAGGUUUAUCAUCUUUCCUUUGGGGCAAAAAUCCAGUGUCCCCAGCAUGUCAUGAUUGAACUUUGUCUCACAGCAGCCAAGUGUACUGAAAAUAAAGUUGUUUUAUGUGCUUAGGGAAUAGAACAUUGUUAGUUGGGGCAGAUUUAGUGAUAUAAGAACAGGUCUUAGGGCCAUGCCUGUGUUCUGAAAUUCUUAUGUCCUAGGCCUCAGCCUUCUUUAUCCACCCUUGGCCAGACUCAGAAGGGGAUUAGAGAGCUCUGCCCUUGACCCCUUUCUUCCCUGUCAUUCUUCCUAGUCUUUCUGUGACCUAUCCAUGGUGUGUAGACAAGGACACAGGAGAAUGUAGGGCUUUGUUUCUUUUUUUCUCUUGGCUGUUCUCUUAGUUGUAUGAGUUUUAGAUUAGGCCUUCUGGACACUUGUUCACUGAUGAAGCUCAAGUCUGAGAACAAGCCCUGACAAUAUCGUAGGUGCUUAAUAAAUAUUAGUGGAAUAAAUGACUUAAGUGCCAAGAGGAGCUCUUCUGGUUAAACAAAUUUCUCAAAUAGAACUUGAGAAAGGACACUAAUUAAAUGGGGUGAUCUUAACCCAGGCCAGGAUCUAACCUUAAUGGUUUGCCUACUCACCUUUGUCAUGGUAAUAUUUGCUAAGACAAGCCUUCUUAAAUAAAAAUGAAUUCUCUUUUAUUGGUUGAUGAAAAAGAGGGUUGCUUUUCAUAACUCACUUUGGCUUAAUCUGACUCAUAAGACUACCAGAGACCAUGCCUGCUUCCAUUUUGAUGAGAUCUUUUCCUUUUUUAAAAUAAAGUUACUUAAUAUAUGGCAAAACUUUUCAGUUCCCAAUGCAUCAUAUUCAUGUCAUAGAGUCAGGUUUGGAGAAUCUGCAAAAUCACAUAGCUCGCUCAUAUGAAUGAUAUGGCUCCAUAUAGACUGCAUCCUCGAAGGAUUUUAGGCUUUCUCCCUUACCUGUGCAAGGCUUUUUAUUCCCUUAUAUGCUUUUGUUACAUGUACUGAAUUAUGUUAACAUUUAAAUUUGAUUAUAUGGGGCCAUAUAAUCCUUUCUGUGGAUUACUUGGAGUAGGCCAUUAGCUCUUCCUGACUUUUUUUUCCCCUCUUUUUUAAAGUCAUUUCAUAUUAGCACCUCUUCCUGAGUAAAGAAUCAAUAACCAAAAAUGAAAGUGAAAUGGAUUGAUUUGACCUUGUGUCAAUUUCUGAGUGAGAGUUUGCUAAGAAAGGUAAAAACCACUGACCACAAUAAAAUAUUUGGAUUGGGGUUACUUAUUUUAAGCAGUUUAGACUUGUUGGAGAGAGGAGGCAGAGUUUAACAAGGACUGGACUCUUCUUUUUUCUUCUGUUCAUGAGCGUAUGCCUUUGGAGGACACUGGUGACUUCCAGUAUUAGAUAAUGAUUUGCCUCAUUUACCCUUUGAGCUCACCCAUAAUUUUUCCCAGGCCCAGCAUCCACUUUCAGUUAAUGAGUCUUUCUGGAUAAAUAUCAGUUGCAAGUGAUUUUGAAUUGGUCCUCUGACUAAAAUGAAAACAUUGUUUUUAAAAAAAUAAACCACGCUACGUAAAUGAGAUCAUAUUAUAAUCAGACAGGACUAUUUUUUUCCCCCAAGUAUCAAACCAAUGGUGUUAAAGAUUUUGUUAAAGAUGUUUCUUUAUCCUGCAGAACUCUCUGUAUUUCAUGAUCACAAGUAUUUUAGUGACCUCUGCUUAGCCUCUGGAAGAGGUCUUCUACGGUUUAUACAUUCUUUUUUGUAGAUUUUUUUUUUUUUUGGCUACGCCCAUGGCAUGUAAAAGGUCCUGGGCCUGGGAUGGAAUCCACACCACAGCAGCGACCCCCGUUGCUGCGGUGACAAUACCAAAUCCUUAACCUGCUGCACCACAAGGGAACGCCUCUAGAAUUUCUGUUCACCUGCAACUGAUUACUUAUUCUCCUCAACCAUGGCCCUGACAGGUGUGUUUUAAUGCAACUAUAAUACUCUUGAGACUUAACCAGAAAAUCAAAAGAAGUGAAAAAAAACGUGUAUCACAUCCUUCUGACAGAAUGUGCUCCACAUAUGAGUAUGGUUGAACACCAAUUUUGGGAUAAGAGAAGGAUGUGUUUUCUUUGUCUUUUUUUUUUUUUUUUUUUUUUUUUUUUGGAUUUUGUAUCUGUGACAUGAGCCUAUUUGUGUUUGGAGGGAAAACUGCCUUCCCCUACAUUCUUCACACUGGGGAGACAGCAUACUGAAUUAAGAAAUUAUCUUCUCUUCUAAUAGCUCAUGAGUAUAAUAAUGUUAGAGCAAGGGAGAUGACAUUAGAACAUUGCAGUCAUUUUGGGGAGCCAUAGUUUCAAAAUAAAUUGAGGCAUAAUGAAGAUAGUGAAGGAGUUUAAAAUUGAAGACAGUUGAAGAAUAUUUGAAGGAUUUGGGGAAAUGUGGUUUGGGAAAGAGAGAGGCAUAUCAUUAGUACAAGAGAGCAAGACUCUGAUUCAAAGGGGUAGAAUGAGGCCCAGAGAAUAGAGGUCAUCGGGCCUCUAUUUGAACUUCAUGCUAGGAAGAACGUCUCAAAAAGUUGUUUCACCACGGAAGGGGCUGCUCUAGGUGAUAGUCUCUGUCAAGCAAAGGCUAGAUAAGAACUUAGCAAAGAUGAUGUGGAGACGAUCCCAGCAUUUGUUGGGGUAGACCAGAUGACCUAUUAAAAUUCUAUGUUGCAGUAAUAUGCUCCUCAAAACAUGUUGAAUUAAAUAUCUGUGACCCAGAGCUAAUGAUUUUUUUUUCAAGCUUCGCCCUUCUGCCCAAAGUGCAUCCCAUCCUAUAGGAAGGAAGUUGAUUACAUGUCAUUAGUUGAAGAGCCUGGCUUGCCGUUAUGCCCUAGGCUGGGAUUGCUUUGCCAGUCCAUUCGUUGACGUCCUGUUGAAAUCACAAACUAAUUCUUGACUUAAAGAUUAAACAGGUAUUAUUUUUAAUAGAAGUUACAUGAAAUCAUGGAAAUUAUGUAUUUGUUAUUUGCCAAACAUAGGCCAGGCUCAGUUUCAGUAACUAAUUGGUGUCUUCAGAGUUUCAGGAUAGGUCUUUUUAGCAGAGUAAAAUCUUCAGCUAAAGAUUCCAUAAAUAUACCGACAUGAAGUUUUGCAGCUCCUAUCAUAGAUGAGCUGGUGGUCACUGGCAGAAAGCGAUCCCCAAGAUCUAUUAUGGAAAAAUCUCACAUGACAUUUGGUUAGUUGGUUUGAUUCUCUUGGAAAAAACGUGAUCUGGAAAUGAUUUUAAAAGAACAGAGGUCAGCUCUUUCAAUCCCUGGCUCCACGCAGUGGGUUAAGGAUCCUGUGUUGCUUCCCCUGUGGCGUAGGUUGCAGAUGCAGCCUGGAUUUGAUCCCGUCUGGGAACUUCCAUAUGCCAUGUGUGCAGCUG